This 278-nucleotide ribosomal RNA is filed under the name uncultured soil bacterium. Its description in RNAcentral is "partial 16S ribosomal RNA". It matches the Rfam family "Bacterial small subunit ribosomal RNA", at positions 26 to 285 of the family's 1533-position model. The record is from RNAcentral.
AGAAUCAACGCUGGCGGCGUGCCUCAGACAUGCAAGUCGAACGCGAAAGUUUCCUUCGGGAGGCGAGUAGAGUGGCGCACGGGUGAGUAACACGUAGGUAAUCUACCUCUGGGUGGGGAAUAACAGCCGGAAACGGCUGCUAAUACCGCAUAAUGCAGCGGCUCGACAUCGAGACAGUUGUUAAAGCGGGGGAUUCGUAAGAACCUCGCGCCUAAAGAGGAGCCUGCGGCGGAUUAGCUAGUUGGUAAGGUAAUGGCUUACCAAGGCAUCGAUCCGUA